Rhincodon typus (whale shark) is the source of this 2796-nucleotide long non-coding RNA. RefSeq lists it as uncharacterized. NCBI's taxonomy places the organism in Eukaryota, Metazoa, Chordata, Chondrichthyes, Orectolobiformes, Rhincodontidae. The record is from RefSeq and is a predicted model, not a curated record. The transcript is spliced from 2 exons.
UUUCAUCGUUGCACGGCUCCGCUCGACUUUAUUUCACAAAAUUCACAUGACCCGUGCGCAAAAAUCUGCAUGCCCUUCGAUUCGUCCCGAAACGGGUCGAAGCAAACGACAAGGUCACGCUGAUUAAUCCCUCCUCCGUUGAACAUUGCGGUUUGCCGGAGGUUCUACCAAGUCGGAGACGCGGGGGGGUGUUUUGACACCACAAAUGUAUGCUAAUUAGCCGGGGCCGACUGUUCCAAGCACGUGAUGUGGAGAGAACAGGAGACAUCUGAAGGGUGUGUUCCUGCGCUGCGCUCUGGAAUGUGCAAAGGUUUUAUUGUGAGAGCCCUGAGUUGUGAAUCAAUGAAAGCCAUCUCUGUGCUAGGUUUUAUUGUCAGCGCCUUGAGCUGUGUAUCAACUGAAACCGUCUUCUGUGCAUAGAUUUUAUUGUUAGGGCUCUGAGCUGUGUAUCAACUAACACCAUUUCUGUGCAGGAUUUUAUGGUGAGAGUCCAGAACUGAGCUAAAAGCAACUGAUUUACACCAUCACAGUACUGACUGAUCAUUCUUCAGAGUGAAACUUGCAAAAUUAUAAGCUGUGUGUAUCAUCAUCCACUCACCCAAGCCACCCUCUCCAAAUUGAAGGUCAUUUCCUAGUGAUAUAGUAAAAUUCUGAUUAUUUUAAUCUGAUUAUACUGCCAAAGAAUAUUUACAGGAUCUGCUGAGGGACAACUGCUGUGCUGGUUUUCACUUGUCUACCUGAACAUGUUCUUAUCUCCUUUGGAGGAGAUUGGCAAUUCAAAUCUUCCAUGGACUCUCGACUCAUCAGUAGGAGAGUUGACAGGAGCCUCCACUUCAGCAACCUGACCGUGACCUGGAACUCUUGAUGAAUGCAGUAUUGCUGAUCUGCUCAAAUGUGAUGCCUUAACUAUGUGGAACAUUGCCUUUGGGUAGAAAUUAGAGCAUGUCUGUUUCAGACCACGGUGGUUCAAUGUGGUAUCUGUUCCACUGCUUCAUCAAAGCAAGCUCGGGUUUGAAUUCAGACUGGCUGUCCUGGUGGAGGUCUGGCAGUUUGCAUGCUUUGACAUUCUUCAUAGUUUCACCACUGACUGGAAUGGUGAUCAUCCAGUUUAUCCCUCAUGUUUUCAAGGCAGCCUCUUGUAAACUCAUUGUCAGUGUAUGUGGAAGAGGAGAGAGUUGCAUUCUCAGUCUUCCCAUGAGGGGUCUGUAUGCAGCUAAACUAUUCUGGGGUGGAGUUGAACAAUAGCUCCAAAGUGCAGGUUGAAUGCCAUCAUUCUUCUUCAGCAGUGCUUUCACUGUAAAUACUCAUCUUUUAGCUUCUCAGUUGUCUUGAAGAUAUCUUGAUCACCCAGUAGUAUGGACAAAUGUAUUUGAUGUUGAGAACUUUUUAUCAUACUCAGUGACAAACUGUGGUUCAUUAUCUGAGAUUAGAAGGUCCAGGAUUCCAAGUAUUGCAAAGAUCUCCUUUAGCAAUGUCAUCACUGCUCCAGUUCACGUGACUCUUCUGGCAACACAAUGACUGAGCUAAACCAGAGAUACACAAAAUUGAAUGAAGAAAAGCUCAGGUCAAAGAGUAUUGCAUCCUGGGGAGUGUUACUGAACAAAGGGACCUUGGGGUGCAGGUUCAUAAUUCCUUGAAAAUGGAGUUGCAGGUAGACAGGGUGGUGAAGAAGGCAUUUGGUACACUUGCCUUUAUUGGUCAAUGCAGUGAGUAUAGGAGUUGGGAGAUCAAUUUGCAGCUGUACAGGACAUUGGUUAGGCCACUUUUGGAAUACGACGUUCAAUUCUGGUCUCCCUGCUUUUGUUAAGAUGUUGUUAAACUUGAGAGGGUUCAGAAAAUAAUUACAAGGAUGUUGCCAGGGUUGAAAGGUUUGAGCUAUAGGGAGAAGCUGAAUAGGCUGGAGCUACUUUCUCUGUAGUGUCGGAGAUUGAGGGGUGACCUUAUAGAGGUUUAUAAAAUCAUGAGCAUGGAAAGGGUGAAUAACCAAGCUCUUUUUCCCAGGCACAAAACUAGAAGGUAUAGGUUUAAGGUGAGUGGGAAAGAUUUAAAAGGGACCUAAGGAGCAAUGUUUUCAUGCAGAGGGUGGUGCAUGUGUGGAAUGAGCUGCCAGAGGAAGUGGUGAAGGCUGGUACAGUUACAUUUAAAUGGCAUCUGGAUGGGUACAUGAACAGGAAAGGUUUACAAGGAUAUGGGCCAAAUGCUGGCAAAUGGGACUAGGUUAAUUUAGAAGGCACAACAACACCUCUUCUUCCUCUUGUGGCUUAGGAAAUUCAGUAUUUCCAUAAGGACCUUCCCGAAUUUUUACGGAUGCGCCAUAAAAAGCAUAUUGUCCGGUUGCAUAAUGGCCUGGUACAGCAGUUGCUCUGCCAAGGACUGUAAAAAACUACAGAAGGUUCUGUGCACAGCCCAGACCAUCACGGAAGCCAACCUCCCAUUCACGGACUCUAUUUACACCUCUCGUUGCCGCGGAAAGGCUGCCAACAUCAACAAAGACCUCUCCCACUCCAAUAAUGCUCUCCUACAACCUCUUUCAUCAGGCAGAAGAAACAGAAGCUUGAACACAUGCACCAACAGCUUCUUCUCUGCCAUUAUUAGACUGAUGAAUGGACUCUAACUUCAAAUAAUGUUGAUCUUGUUUUGCGUACCUCCUGUGCAGUGCAACCUGUGUGCCUCGCUCUUGUAAGCACCCUAUGAUCUGUACAUCCUUGUUUGUUAUGAUCUGCCUGUACUGCUCGCAAGCAAAGCUUUUUAUUGUACUUUGGUUUAUGUGACUACAAUAAAUCAAAUCAAAUCAAA